UCCGAUAUAGUGUAGGGGCUAUCACAUCACGCUCUCAUCUUUGAGGACCGUGGAGACCGGGGUUCGAUUCCCCGUAUCGGAG
Molecule: transfer RNA, 82 nt
Filed under: Yarrowia lipolytica
Lineage: Eukaryota; Fungi; Ascomycota; Dipodascomycetes; Dipodascales
Also listed under: 1 other name
Rfam family: tRNA
About the family: Transfer RNA (tRNA) molecules are approximately 80 nucleotides in length. Their secondary structure includes four short double-helical elements and three loops (D, anti-codon, and T loops).
Source: RNAcentral